This 279-nucleotide unclassified non-coding RNA is filed under the name Hevea brasiliensis (rubber tree). Lineage: Eukaryota; Viridiplantae; Streptophyta; Magnoliopsida; Malpighiales; Euphorbiaceae. The record is from RNAcentral.
UUUUUUUUUUUUUUUUUUUUAUUUUUUGGCCCCAAAUAAUUAUUUUAAAAAAAAAAACAAAAAAAAAACCUUUUUCUUUCCCAUAGCUCAUUCACAUUAUCAGGGAAAUGAAAAGAUUUAUAAAUAUUUUUAUUUUUUUCGUAGUUGCCUGGAGUUAUCCUCAGAGAAGGACAAUUGAGGAAUUGAUGUAAAUGAAAUGAUCUGUUGGACUGGAUAAAUGACAAAAUUAUGAUAUUUCUCAUUAGCUUUGGUCAUUUAUCCAGUCCAACAGAUCAUUUC